GUUUUUUAAAAUAAAACCUCACGAGAUGAUGGAGCCAGUCGAUCUAAAGAGAAACGUUCUCUAGCAUAUUUUAUAUACUUUGCAAUAAUUAACAAGAUGGUGAGAACUUAAUUUUCUUGAUGGUGUGAGAUUCAUCUUAAUAGAGGUUUAAUAAUGAGAGAGAGAGAGAGAGAGAGAGAGAGAGAGAGACAGAGGAAUAAAAUGCAGGUACCUCAGAUGUUGCCGGAAGCUCAUCGAUAAAAUGCACACAACCAGUCGGACACCGCAAGGUUUUCAAACGAAGGCAGCAGUCCCAAAUCCCAAGGCCAAAAUCCCGAAAAAAUGGCCAAAAUAUGAAAGCGUUUUUUGAUUUACAUGAAAUUUGAUAUCCUGGAGUUUUGGAGGUCGCUAAUUACAAAUCUGAAAUCAAAAUUGCAAAAAACAAAAUGGCGGAUUUAAUAUAGCGGAUACAUGUAUUUUAAAUAUAUUUAAUGUAGUCAAAAUUUGAUAUCCUGGGAUUUUUGAGUACUGUACAAUCGUAUAAUAACAAAAGCUCCACAAACAGAACGACUAUCUGAAUGCCGCGGCAUGAUCUGUUUAUUCCAUGGACUUAGAAAUAGAGGGACGAUGCAUAACUUACAAGGAUGAGCCACGUUCGCGGCCGGGGGGACCGCCAUGUUGGUUUCAAAGAUUGCACACAUUAAAACAUGUACAGUGCAUGUGUGAAAUAAACAGUACAGAAUAAUAAAGUUUAAAAUUUUGUUAA
Solenopsis invicta (red fire ant) is the source of this 745-nucleotide long non-coding RNA. RefSeq lists it as uncharacterized. Lineage: Eukaryota; Metazoa; Arthropoda; Insecta; Hymenoptera; Formicidae. The transcript has 4 exons. The record is from RefSeq and is a predicted model, not a curated record.